RNAcentral lists this ribosomal RNA (291 nucleotides) under uncultured bacterium. RNAcentral describes it as "partial 16S ribosomal RNA". It matches the Rfam family "Archaeal small subunit ribosomal RNA", at positions 455 to 747 of the family's 1478-position model. The record is from RNAcentral.
GUGCCAGCCGCCGCGGUAAUACCGGCAGCCCAAGUGAUGGCCGAUCUUAUUGGGCCUAAAGCGUCCGUAGCUGGCCGACCAAGUCUCCCGGGAAAUCCACCCGCCCAACGGGUGGGCGUCCGGUAGAAACUGGCCGGCUUGGAACCGGAAGGCUCAGAGAGUACGUCCGGGGUAGGAGUGAAAUCCCGUAAUCCCGCACGGACCACCGAUGGCGAAAGCACUUCGAGAAAACGGAUCCGACAGUGAGGGACGAAAGCCAGGGUCUCGAACCGGAUUAGAAACCCGGUAUCC